GACGAACGCUGGCGGCGUGCUUAACACAUGCCAGUCGAACGGAAAGGCCCUGCUUUUGUGGGGUGCUCGAGUGGCGAACGGGUGAGUAACACGGGAGUAACCUGCCCUUGACUUUGGGAUAACUUCAGGAAACUGGGGCUAAUACCGGAUAGGAGCUCCUGCUGCAUGGUGGGGGUUGGAAAGGUUCGGCGGUUGGGGAUGGACUCGCGGCUUAUCAGCUUGUUGGUGGGGUAGUGGCUUACCAAGGCUUUGACGGGUAGCCGGCCUGAGAGGGUGACCGGCCACAUUGGGACUGAGAUACGGCCCAGACUCCUACGGGAGGCAGCAGUGGGGAAUAUUGCACAAUGGGCGGAAGCCUGAUGCAGCAACGCCGCGUGCGGGAUGACGGCCUUCGGGUUGUAAACCGCUUUCGCCUGUGACGAAGCGUGAGUGACGGUAAUGGGUAAAGAAGCACCGGCUAACUACGUG
Molecule: ribosomal RNA, 468 nt
Filed under: uncultured bacterium
Lineage: Bacteria
Description: partial 16S ribosomal RNA
Rfam family: Bacterial small subunit ribosomal RNA
Source: RNAcentral